UACAGAGGUCUCAAGCGUUGUUCGGAUUCAUUGGGCGUAAAGGGUGCGUAGGCGGCGCGGUAAGUCGGGUGUGAAAUUUCGAGGCUUAACUUCGAAACUGCAUUCGAUACUGCCGUGCUUGAGGACUGGAGAGGAGUCUGGAAUUUACGGUGUAGCGGUGAAAUGCGUAGAUAUCGUAAGGAAGACCAGUGGCGAAGGCGGGUCUCUGGACAGUUCCUGACACUGAGGCGCGACAGCGUGGGGAGCAAACAGG
RNAcentral lists this ribosomal RNA (253 nucleotides) under uncultured bacterium. RNAcentral describes it as "partial 16S ribosomal RNA". It matches the Rfam family "Bacterial small subunit ribosomal RNA", at positions 524 to 776 of the family's 1533-position model. The record is from RNAcentral.